This 253-nucleotide ribosomal RNA is filed under the name uncultured bacterium. RNAcentral describes it as "partial 16S ribosomal RNA". It matches the Rfam family "Bacterial small subunit ribosomal RNA", at positions 524 to 776 of the family's 1533-position model. The record is from RNAcentral.
UACGUAGGGUGCGAGCGUUGUCCGGAAUUAUUGGGCGUAAAGAGCUCGUAGGCGGUUUGUCGCGUCUGCUGUGAAAACUCGGGGCUUAACUCCGGGCCUGCAGUGGGUACGGGCAGACUAGAGUGCGGUAGGGGAGACUGGAAUUCCUGGUGUAGCGGUGAAAUGCGCAGAUAUCAGGAGGAACACCGGUGGCGAAGGCGGGUCUCUGGGCCGUAACUGACGCUGAGGAGCGAAAGCGUGGGUAGCAAACAGG